This 499-nucleotide long non-coding RNA is filed under the name Gallus gallus (chicken). The record is from RNAcentral. Lineage: Eukaryota; Metazoa; Chordata; Aves; Galliformes; Phasianidae.
GCAUGCUCUGAAGAACACUGAAGAUUACCAGCCAAAAGAUCUUCUUUUAUAUGCAAGAAAAACAUAUGCCUCGUCUGCUCUUGUAAGAUAAGAUGAGGCUCUACAAAGAACUUGACUCUUAAUUUAAACCGAUAAGGAGCUAAACCAUCCAUCUGCUGGGAAAUCCUGUUCCUCAGAUUCAGCCAUAGGUUCUCCCCUUUGCUGCCAGUGAACUGCAGCCCGAAGUAAUCAACUUCUAUGAUUCCCAACCUUCUGCAAACCUGGUUGAGGCAGUCCUCGCCGUUGGCUUUCGCCUCUACCUCCACCUCCAUCACCACCGCGUCCGGCCUGGUCACAUAGCACAGCAUGGCUGGGGUCGGCCAGCGCCGCCACCGCGGGCGCACCGAGCGGCUGCUGCUGCCGUCACCGGCGGGGAAGGGCGCUGUGGCUGCGGGCUGCGCCUCGCCGCCCACACCCGCACUCCGCUACAACGCACCCACUGUCCACGCUCUGCUGCCUC